RNAcentral lists this ribosomal RNA (253 nucleotides) under uncultured bacterium. Its description in RNAcentral is "partial 16S ribosomal RNA". It matches the Rfam family "Bacterial small subunit ribosomal RNA", at positions 524 to 776 of the family's 1533-position model. The record is from RNAcentral.
UACGUAGGGUGCGAGCGUUAAUCGGAAUUACUGGGCGUAAAGCGUGCGCAGGCGGGUAUGUAAGACAGAUGUGAAAUCCCCGGGCUCAACCUGGGAACUGCAUUUGUGACUGCAUAGCUAGAGUACGGUAGAGGGGGAUGGAAUUCCGCGUGUAGCAGUGAAAUGCGUAGAUAUGCGGAGGAACACCGAUGGCGAAGGCAAUCCCCUGGACCUGUACUGACGCUCAUGCACGAAAGCGUGGGGAGCAAACAGG